RNAcentral lists this ribosomal RNA (529 nucleotides) under Eumanota humeralis. Its description in RNAcentral is "eukaryotic LSU rRNA". The record is from RNAcentral. Lineage: Eukaryota; Metazoa; Arthropoda; Insecta; Diptera; Mycetophilidae.
ACCUGAAUAUCUGAAAUGGGAAAUUCAAUAUAAUAUAUAUAUAUAUAUAUAUAUCUAUAUUAUAUGCACUUUUCCCAUAGUAAGACAUUGCGAUCCAUUGAGUCGUCUAUGUUAAAUAGAUAAUGUUUAUUAAACGGUCUAUAAUGUUCAGUUUAUUUAAUUUAUAUUUUUUUUAAAUUUAUAUUUAAAUAAUGCGUUUGUAGUACCUAAUAAACAAUUGAUGGAGCUUAAUAAUCAUGCCUACAUGUUUUUGAUAUGUAUUACGAUAUGUAAAUUAUAAUAAUUUAUGUAUGCAGUAAUUGCAUGUAUUUGAUUAGCAAUGCGAUAGAUUUAGGAUACCUUCGGGACCCGUCUUGAAACACGGACCAAGAAGUCUAACAUGUGUGCAAGUCAUUGGGUAUCUAAUGUUGAAACCUAAAGGCGAAAUUAAAAUAAAUAUUAAUGGGAUUACAUGUAAUAUAUAUUAUAUAUUAUGUCUCCAUCCCGGGGCGUUCAAUGUUAACAUGGUUUAAGCAAUUGAAUCCUCUGU